Molecule: ribosomal RNA, 492 nt
Filed under: uncultured bacterium
Lineage: Bacteria
Description: partial 16S ribosomal RNA
Rfam family: Bacterial small subunit ribosomal RNA
Source: RNAcentral
AGUGAACGCUGGCGGUAGGCCUAACACAUGCAAGUCGAACGGCAGCACAGUAAGAGCUUGCUCUUACGGGUGGCGAGUGGCGGACGGGUGAGGAAUACAUCGGAAUCUACUUUUUUGUGGGGGAUAACGUAGGGAAACUUACGCUAAUACCGCAUACGACCUACGGGUGAAAGCAGGGGAUCUUCGGGCCUUGCGCGAUUGAAUGAGCCGAUGUCGGAUUAGCUAGUUGGCGGGGUAAAGGCCCACCAAGGCGACGAUCCGUAGCUGGUCUGAGAGGAUGAUCAGCCACACUGGAACUGAGACACGGUCCAGACUCCUACGGGAGGCAGCAGUGGGGAAUAUUGGACAAUGGGCGCAAGCCUGAUCCAGCCAUACCGCGUGGGUGAAGAAGGCCUUCGGGUUGUAAAGCCCUUUUGUUGGGAAAGAAAAGCAGCAGGUUAAUACCCCGCUGUUCUGACGGUACCCAAAGAAUAAGCACCGGCUAACUUCGUG